This 186-nucleotide ribosomal RNA is filed under the name uncultured bacterium. RNAcentral describes it as "partial 16S ribosomal RNA". It matches the Rfam family "Bacterial small subunit ribosomal RNA", at positions 1316 to 1500 of the family's 1533-position model. The record is from RNAcentral.
CUGCAUGAAGUCGGAAUUGCUAGUAAUCGCGGAUCAGCAUGCCGCGGUGAAUACGUUCCCGGGCCUUGUACACACCGCCCGUCACACCAUGAGAGUUAGGAAUACCCGAAGCCUGUGAGCCAACUUUAUAAGAGGCAGCAGUCGAAGGUAGAACUAAUGAUUGGGGUGAAGUCGUAACAAGGUAUC